This is a non-coding RNA of Sturnus vulgaris (Common starling), 290 nucleotides long. Lineage: Eukaryota; Metazoa; Chordata; Aves; Passeriformes; Sturnidae. The record is from RefSeq and is a predicted model, not a curated record.
CCUCAGCUGGACAGGGGAUAGAAAAUACAAUGAAAGGCUCAUGGGUCAAGAUAAGGGCAGGAAGAGAUCACUCACCAAUUACAGUCAUAGGCAAAACAGAUUUGACUUGGGGAAAGUCAUUCAAUUUAUUACCAAUCAAAUCAGAGUAGGAUAAUGGGAAAUAAAAACUAAAUCUUGAAAACAACUUGCCCCAUUCCUGCCUUUUUCCAGGCUCAAUUCUAUUCCCAAAAUCUCUACCUCCUCUUCACCAACAGUGGGGAUGAGGAAUGGGGGCUGUGGUCAGUUCAUCC